AAAGUGUUGCUUGGUACCCCAUCUUGCCAAAAGUCUGCCACCUUGUUGCAUUCCCGAAGCUAUGCCGGAUCACUGGAUUCCAUAGUUUCUUCAACAAGUACCUGCAUUCUAAGAUAAUGUUAGUAUAUGCAAGGGAUGUAUUGUGUUGCAGUAGUUUGAUUAUGUCCGUUGAGUCCGUAUCUAUCUCUAGUGGCACUAUUCCUUUAUGUGAGUCAGAGUUUUGUGUGAUGUGCUUUUGUAGUUGGAUGUUAAGAAAUUAAAUUCCAUGGCACGAGUUUUAACCAUAUGGUAGUUUAAGGUGUUUGAGUAGUUGUGGAAACAGUUGUUGUUAUGUUAGUCAGAGGUUAUAUUCCAAAAGGAAAGAUUUCCUCCAAGGCUAUGUGGUUAUGGUUGACCAGUAUUUUGGAAUUUUUAGUAGCAAAAAGCUAGUAUUGUCACGUGGAAUGCUAUUAAUAUCAUCCCUAUCGUAUUCCAAAACGAUCAGGCUGCAAGGCAAUCAAGGAAGAUGUGAGUUAUGAUUUCUUCCACUCUUUCAAACUUUGCAAGUAUUUUCCAUUGUUACUCCUAUUUGAUGGAGGUAGGAGUUUGUUGGUCGCUUAUUUUUAAAACAUUGCCAGAGAAAAAAAUUAAUUUUAUUGAGGGUGUGCGGCUUCCACAUCCAGCUAUAGUCGAUUGUUGUAGGAAAUGUGUUGGUGGAGUAAUUUGUAGACGGAGUGGGUGGUGAAGGUGCCAUUUGUGUUUGGCAUCCACAAGGGUGUGUCUGCUAUAUCGGGGUUUUAUACGAAGUGAUUAGGAGUGAUAUUUUAGGCAAUGUUUGCAGGUAGUUCAAAUGAAAUAUUUGACCAGUCCCAUUGGUUAUUUACCUAAACUUGAUUAAAGGUUAUAUUGCCCUCAUAUUUGGUUAGAGGACUUUGGAUGAUUGAACGAAUGUUCGUUUUGUUUGGGGCCCAGCAUUCAUAAUAGAUGUUUAUAGAUUUUCCAUUUCCAAUAUCCCAAGCUAGCCCCUUGCUGAUGGUUUCCCAACCUUUCAGGAUAUUUUGUCAGAUCAAAGAGGUUUCCUUGAUAUUAGACUUAUAUUGGUUGUGCUGGAUUAAGGUAUUUUCCCAUAGUGCAGUUGAGUUGGCAAAUAAUCUCCAAGCUAGGCCUACAAGGAUAGCUUAGUUUUUAUGCCCUGCCUUUGGAAUCCCUAGGCCACCUCUGUCCUUUGGAAGGGUUACAACGUCCCAUAAGACAUAGUGUAUUUUCCUUUUAGUAGUGGUCGUUCCCCAAAUAAAAUCCCGCUGUAUUUUGUCGAUUUGGUGUAGAGUAUUUUUUGGGAGGGAUAUGUAUUGCAUAUUGUAAUUAGGGAUAGCAUUAAGGGUUGCUUUUGCGAGUGUUGCUCUUCCAGCUAGUGUCAGAAAAUUUAUUUUCCAGCUUGAGAGCUUAUUCCUCAUGUUGUCAGUUACGAAUUGAAAGUCCAAUGGCUUAGGCCUAGUGUUUGUAAUUAGGAAGCCCAAGUAUUUUUCGAACUGGUUGGUCUGCUUAAUGUUGAAAAGAUUGAUUGUGUAUUCUUUUAUGUUUGUUGAGCAGUUUUCGGAGAAUAAAAUUUUUGAUUUAUUGUUAUUGAUUUAUUGGCCUGAUAGGGAGCAGAAUGUAGAAACGGAGUGGUGGAUAGAAUUGAUUGUGUUUCUCUUUGCUUGUCCCAUGAAUGUUAAGUCGUGUGUGUAGAAGAUAUGAGAGAUUAGUAUCCUUCCACCCAAUUUUGAUCGGGUGCCAGAGGGAGAUAUCGACUUGGUGGUGUAUGUAGACUGAAAGCAGUUCUAUGGUGAAGAUGAAUAGGUAGGGGGAUAGAGGGUCCCCUUGUCUGAUUCCUUUCGAUGGUUCAAAGUAAUCUGUUUGAACUCCAUUUACUAAGACAACUAUUUGACUAGUGGUUAUGCAGUUCAUAGUCAAAUAUAUGAUUUUUUGGGGGAAUUUGAAUAAAAUUAGGUCCUUAUAGACAAACGACCAUUCUAUUCUAUUGAAUGCUUUUUCAAGGUCUAUUUUGAUAAUGAGGUGACCAAUCUGCCAUUUCUUUUUUCGAAUUGGUUGAUCACCUCCUAAAUGAUAAUGGCAUCAUCGCAAGACCUCCUGCCUUAUAAAAAACUUGCUUGACAAGGACUUAUUAGGUCAGGAAGAAAAGGCUUAAUUCUGUUGACAAUUAUCUUGGUGAUUAUUUCGUAGAUAAUGUUGUGCAGACCUAUUGGUCUGAAAUUGUUCAGGUUAUUUGCAUGUUUGAAUUUGGGAAUAAGACAAAGAAUGGUUUUGUUUAUUUCUCUAGGGAUUCUGGAUUGGCUGAAGGCUUCUUUGCAUAACUGAAUGACAGAGGGGCCCAAUAUAUUCCAGUGACGCUGGUAAAAAAAUUGGAUGUAUAUCAUCUUGCCCCGGUGCCUUAUAAGGCUUGAAAGAGUAUACUGCACAAAUAUUUUCAUGAGUGCCUAGGGGUCUAUCUAGGGACGAAAGGUCUAUGUUAAAAAAGCUUGUGUGUGCAUUACUGAUAAAAUUCCAUUUUGACAAAAUAUGAUUAGUGGUGAAAAUAUUUUUAUAGUGUUGGUGUGUGUGGUCAAUUAUUUUUUGAUGGGUCAGUGAUCCAGUUAUCAGAGUUGUCUUUAAAAAAGGAGAUAGUAUUACGCCUCCGCUUGUGAAGGACAGAUAUAUGGAAUAUUUUUGUAUUUGUUUCCCCUUCACUGAGCCAGUUUAUUCGGGACCUAAUUUUUCAGUGGUCUUCCUCUAGUCGAAGGAUAUUAUUAUAUUCAUGGGUAAGGGUCUGUUCUAGAUUUUUAAGGUAGGUGUUAUGGGUGUAACUAGGAUAGUUUUGGAUACCAUAAAUUCUAGCAAGAAGUCUCUUUUUGUUAGCACAAAUAUUGCCAAAAUUUCGGGCGCUCCAUUGACUAAUAUUUACAUUAAAGCUUGAAAGGGCAUCAUUAAAGUUAUUAUUAGUCCAAGUUUUCUCAACUAUUUUACUGAACUCCGUGUGGCUUAGCAAACAUUUUUCUAGUUUGAAAGGUUUAUUUGUCAUUGUUCUAGUGUUUAUGAGUCUAACUAGUAAAGGAUUGUGAUCAGAGCAGGUUUUAGGCUGGUGGGUAAUGAGCACAGAGGGGUAUUGUUCUAACCAGGACUCGUUUGUAAGGCAUCUAUCUAGGCUUUCUAGUAUCAACCUAUGCCUCUUAUGGUUGGACCAUUUGUACUUAGAGCCCUUAAAACCUAGGUCCAUUAAAUUGCAAUAGUUGAUACAUGCCCUAAAGCUAGUAGUUCUAUUUUUAUUGACAUUCCUGCCACCCCAUUUUUCAUUAUAGUUAAGCACAUCAUUGAAAUCGCCACCCAUUAGCUAGGGUCCUUUAUAAUUAUCAUAAAUAUUUUUAAUGUUAUUCCAUAAUUCUAGUCUCUUAACUAAAGAGUUACAAGCAUAGAUGGAACUAAAAAGCCACGGGUUAUGAUUUGGCAAUACAUGACAAGUGCAUAAAGCUCCUGGUCAGUCUGCUUAAUUCUUUCCACUGCUACUAAAGCAUCUACCCACAUGAUCACCAUUCCUCCAACUCGGCCUGCUGCUGGUAUUUCUAUAUAAUCAGAAAAGUUAAACUCUGCUCUAAGGCUGGCAUGGAUAUCCAUUUUAGUUUCCAAAAGUGCCACCAUGCAUGGAUUAUGAUUAUUUACCAGUUCCCUAAAGUUGCGUCUGAACUCAGCAUUAUAUGCGCCCCUUACGUUUCACACUAUUAUGCUAGUUGGUGUAUUCAUUAGAGGAGAGUGGUUUUGGGUUGUAGGUAUCAUAUUAUUCCCCCGCAUGAGGUUACUGGCCCUCAAUUUUGGAUUCAGCAUCACUGCGUAUUUUACCGUGGUGGAGUUGAACGACGAAUUGAUAUCCACUGAGCAUUUUUGGAGUGCUACUGGGCAUCGUAGUAUGUUCUUCCUGUCUUCCCUCUCCGGAAAGAACAUAAGGGCUAUAUCUCUUAUGGUUGAUAUUUUUGUGAACGAGCUUCUUAUUGGAAGGGGAGGUAUCACGGUUUCGUCGACUUUUGGGAUUACCUGCUCCUCGUUUGGACAUUGUUCCAUUGGAGGGUCCAUGUGGGCUGGGACUUGAGCCAAUUGGGGUGUCCAAGGAAAUAAGAGGGAAUUCAUUUCUCUCACCUCUGUUGGUGGGAAGAAAGGAAGCUCGAACAUUUGAUUCAUGUUCAGGAGAGGGUUCAAAUGUUGAGGUAGGUUCUAGUUGUUGUGCAUUGUGGAAUAGAGUGAUGGAGCUAUUGCAGGGGCUAGGGGGCCGGGGAUAUUUGCCAUCCACAUGUGGUUCAUAUAGUUGUCCAUGUCCAUUCUCAUUCCCUCCAUCACUACCUGUGCUAGAAAACUCGAAUUUUGUAUGAUCAUCAUCCCCUCCUGCCCUUCAAUUAUCAUGGAAUAAAAGAGAGCUUGACCCUGAAGUCCCUGCUCAAUCCAUGAAGUGGAUUGGUGAUCCGGGUGUUAUGGUUGAGUUACAUAGACUAAGUUUGGGUUGUGCAUAGGGUUGUUUUGGUUGUUGUUGUUCAUUGUUGGGGAGUUGAAAGAAUGUGUGGGCACUUUGUGAGUUAGUAGUGCUAGAUGGGACCUCUUGUUCAGUGGGAGAAGAAGAUUUGGAUUUGGCAUUUAAUUAUUGGGAGUGAGUUAUUAAAAAGGUUUUGGAUGUAUGCUGAAAAGUUGAAGGGAAUGAUUGUAUAUCUCUUGCCUUAUAUUGGAGAGGAGUUUGAUUGGGGGACGAUGGCGUGUGGGAGUAUAUAGUGUCCGUUUGGUUCGUAGUGUACAUAGGUUUUGCCAUUUGGAUAGUGUCCAUUGCCAAGUGUGUGCAUGUGUAAUUCAUAUCGUCCGACUUGUCAUGCAGAUAUUGAGUGUUUAAUCCAUGCAAGGAAUUAUUUGGGCCUAGGUUGUAUUUGGAAAUAGCUUCUAGAUUAAUUGGCAACUUGUCAUGCAAAUGUUUUGCAAGUUUAUUGGCUGAGUGUUCGUGUUGUACACGUGGAAUUUCCCUUGUGGCCUGGAUUCUAGGUUGUAUCAAAGAGAGUUUUUGAGAGGGAGACGAAUCAUUUUGGUUUUCUAGAGUAAUUUUCAUUGGGGCAGUUUCCAUCUCUUCAUCUUCCUCAAGUUCUUGAAGAUAUUGAAAUUUGUUAUUAAGAGGAGUGUGCUUUUCGGCUGAGUUAAAAAAAAAUUUAGUGUUGAUUACUGACUUUGAUUCUUUAAUGGAUUAAUAGGAGUAUUGCUCAGGGGGUGGGGAUAGGGAUCGUCAAUUCCCUUGGACUUAUAGGAGAGUUUCUGGGUAUGGAGGUACUUACCUGUGGCGGCUUAAAACAUUUUAACUUUGAGAAUUGUCUGCCCGUUUUGAGGUCCAUCCUGCUGAGGUAAGGAUCGAGCUCCAGUUGAUUCCACAUUUUUCCUUGUUGCUACUGGUUGUGGUGCCUUUACGUAUGGGUUGUUCUUAUGUUUGAACUCCACAGUUUGCCACUAGUUUGAUGGACUGUUUGAGGUUGUCGGUGCCUGUUGUAUAUCUCAGUGCGUAUGGCUUUAAGUUUCAGGAAAAUUAGGAUGAAUUUCAAAGAAUAGCUGCAGUUGGAAACUUUGAAUUUGAAAGAUUUGACCAAGAGUUGGCUUAUGUGUACGCAAGCUCGGAUCGGAGUUUUUAUUAUUUGGUUAGCUUCAUCGGAUGAUUUAUGACUUAGGAGCGUGAUCGAAAUUGGUUUUGGAGAUCCGGUAUGGAAUUUUGAUUGAAUUGGUGGAACUAGUAUUUUGGUGAUUUUUGGUUAAUAGGUGAGAUUUUUAUCCAGAAGUCGGAAUGGUGUUCCGGGAGUUGCUAUAGCUUCGUUAGGUGAUUUGGAGUAUGUGUGCAAAAUUUGAGAUCAUUCGGACGUGAUCUGAUUUGAUUUUUUAUCGAAUACGUGUUUUAAAAGUUUUAUAAGAACUUGGGCUUGAAUUCGAUAUAAUUCGAUGAUUUUAGUGUUAAUUGAGGCAUUUUGAUAAUUGGACCAAGUUUGAAUAACGUUAUAGGAUUUAUUUGUGUUUUUGGUUGAGGUCCUGCCGGCCUCAGGGUGAGUUCGGGCGGCUAAACGAAGAGUUUUGGGACUUAUGAAAUUAUAAUUGCUAUUGUUUCUGGUAUUUCUGCUUCUGCGGAAUUGGGAUCGUAAGAAGUAUCGGAGAAGCGAAGGGAAAGUUGCAAAAGAGAAAAGGGAGAUGGAGGCAGCUUUCGCAGAUGCGGACGUGUGGAUUGCAGAAGCGGUCUCGCUUUUGAGGGAAAUGGACCGCACAGCGGUCCUAGGCAAAAUGAGGGAAACCGCAUAAGCGGAAGAAAAUCCACAUAAGCUACAUUUUUAUCACAGAAGCGGAAAUAGGCCUGGGCAGAAGGGUUUUAUUUGAAUAUUUCAUCCGCGAGCUUGGGAUAUUUCCACCAUUGUUGGGCAACCUUGACAGCUUUUGGCGAGAAUAAAAUAGAGCUUUAACUGAGAAUCGAUUGGAGGUAAGUCCGUUGUCUUAAAUACAUGAGAAUGUGAUAAAGCUAACAUGGAAAUUGGUUGAAAUUCAUCAAAAGGGGGUAAAGCUUUGGCAUGAAAAUUUUUAAUUUAAAAAUGGAAUUUGAAGGGUCAAAUGGACUCCGAUUUUGGAAUUCCUAAUACGUAUGUACUCGUAAUAAGAUGAGGAAUCUAAAUAUGUAAAAAAAUGUGAGUUUCGAGAAGUGGGCCUGGGGCUCGAGUUUUGGUAAUUUUGGGAUUUGUGCUCAUUCAUGAUUGUUUUCGCUAGGGCUUUGUUCCCUUGGCAUAUUGUGAUAUAUUCGCUCUGAUUUUGGAUAUAUUCGAUGCAAGUGGAGGCCGAUUUGAGGAUCAAAGGCGUCACAGGCUAGAGAUUUAGCCGGUUCGAGGUGAGUAAUGCCUGUAAAUGAUAUCCUGAGGGUUUUAAGCCCCAGAUUUCACAUUGUAACGCUAUAUUGAGGAUAACACGCAUUCUAUGAUGAGUGCAUGGUCAUUUACUAUAUUGUGACUUGGUCCAUCCCACGUGUUAUUUCUACUAUAUUGGUGAUUGAGAUGCGUACUUUAUUACUAUGAAUUUGGCUUAUUGCCAUGUUUGGGCCCUUGUGCCGACCUGUAGAAUCCUUAGAGGAUCUUCAUUUGUUUUUUUUUCCUCACUUGUUUGCAUAAAAUAUACUCUCAGUCAUGUAGUCAACUACUAAAAAUAUUAUAAGAACUGCAUUUUGAACUUGAAUCAUAAAUGAAUGAAUAUGAGGGAUGAGAUCCCCACAGUAUGUUAUGCCCGAGUGGCUGUGAAUUUUUUUGACUGAGAUAGGUUGAGGACCCGAUAGUGAGAUGUUUUCCUAUGAUAUGGAUUGGGUUGCACGCUGCAGCAAUGAUAUAUUGAUAUUGUGGACGAGAGCCUAUUUGAUGCCACGAGAUGGCUGAUAUAGGAGCCCCUCCGGAGUCUGUAUACACCCCGAGUGAGCACCGUCGACGAUAAAUAAAUAGAGCGAGCUGCACGCCGCGCCGGGUACCAGAGUGUACCGUUAUUUGCAUUGCAUUGCAUUCAUGCAAUUGUUCAUUAUUUGUUUUUUGCGAUAUUUCUUGAGAUAUUUAUCUUCUGUUAUGUAAUCAUCUAAUCACUCCUGAAGAGAAUAAAUCUUAGACAGUGAUAACAAUGAUACUGUAUGAUGCGUUUGGUCAGGUAGCAAUGGCUGAACAUAAAUAAGAAUAAUUGCCCGAGGGGCGGAGUUAUGUGCUAGUGUCACUAAUUGUUGAAAUUAUUUUCGCAACUGUUGAAAGGAUAAUUUUCGAAAGAGAUUUAAAACUGAGCCAAGACAUUUUAAAAGAUUUCACAGUUUUCACUAAUUUUCUCAAUUAAAGGGCUGUUCACUGCUUCUAUACAUCAUGAUGAUAUGUUGUAUGGAUUUUCUUACUGCUCAGUUAUUAUUUACUUUAAUUACUCACUGAGUUGGAGUACUCACUUUACUCCCUGCACCUCGUGUGCAUAUGCAGGUACUUGUUCACCCGGUAGCGGAUUUUAAGCUGAUUGAAGAUGUGCUAUCCUAGCUAAGCCAGGGUACCGCUAGCAUUCGCGGCACCGGAUUUUUUUUCCUUUUAAUUUAAAUCCCAUUAUGUAUACCAUUGGCCUUGUAGAUGUAAUUAGACUCUUUUAGAUACUCGUGACUUGUGACACCCCGGUUUGGGCUGUGUUUAGGUUGUAUUUCUGCUAAAUGAUGUUAUUAAAUUAUCUUUGAAAUUGUUUAUUCAUGUUUAUCUAUUGUUGAAAAGGCUGUUUAAGUGGGUUGGAUGGUCUUGUCUUCACAAAAGGCACCAUCACGACCGGAGCAGGGUUUGGGUCGUGGCAAGUUGGUAUCAGAGCCUAGGUUACAUCGGUCUCACGAGUCAUGAGCAGGUUUAGUAUAGUCUCGCGGAUCAGUAUGGAGACGUCUGUAUUUAUCCUCGAGAGGCUGCAGAACCUUUAGGAAAACUUUACAUUCUUGAAUUCUUAUCGUGCGUUCUCGAUUCAUCUUGAAAAGUAACUCUUGAAAUUCCUUCCACGUGUUCGCAUGUGCGCAUGAGCACUCAGUAUCAGAUGUACCUUGAUGACUUGUGAUUCCCCGAUUUAGGGGCGAGACGUGAUCUCUGUGAGUUGAUAUUGGUCCAUUCUGGAGGACUUGAGGUCGCAUCUCCGUCUAUGGCUUGAGCACCGAGGUACUGAUUAUGUGAGCAAGUGAUUUGGACUUAUAUGUUCGAUGUUGUCUACAUUAGCCGGAAUGGCAGUUGGAUAUCCAUGUGAUGAGUAUGUUGGUACUGCAAGAUGUUUCUAUAUGAACUGAAGGUGUCAAGGAAGGUCUGCUGGAUGAUAGGCGAACCAUUAAGUGUUUGAUUUCCAUUGUGGUUGGAUGUGUUGCCCUGAAUUAUGGACACGCGAAGAACCCUUCAAGUCCCCUAGUUAGGAGAGAGAUGAAUUUCCAAUUUCGGUUUGAGUUCAGACUCACGAAAACGAGUUGAAUGUGUAAUGUGUGUGACUGUGGAAGGUAUACGGAAAUGUUAUAUUGAGGUGAAGCAGGUGGGUUAUCUCCUGCAGAGUGUUCUGAAGUGGUGUGAUCCUUAUUUGUAUGUUGGAAGAUCUCACGUGUAAGUGAAUAGUAUGUGUGGAAAGUUGUAGAUUUUGGGUCACUUAAGAGAAUGGGCAUAACGGUUACGGGAAUGAAUACGAGAUUUGUAGAAGAUUUACAGUACUAGAUUAUAUAUGUUUUCACAACUCAUAGAUGAUUCGAGUUUACUCUUACUAGGUUAUUUUUACAUCAAUGGAGUAAAAGUGUUAUGAGUUAAUGAAUGUAUCUAGAUCUAUGGUUCCGAGCCAAGUAAGGGAGCCUGCUAUAGGAAAUUGGUUGCACGGUUAUGUGCUAUGUUGGUUCGAAUUUGAGACGUGCGAGUGAAUUAGCUAUGGAUAUAGUAGACUUAGACAAGGUUAUACCAUGCUUCAUGGGGUAUGAGACUCAUGAAAUGUUUAGAAUUGUUGUUGGUAAAUGAUACUCGGUGCAUAGAGCAGGAAAUUGCUUGGUUGUAUUGGGACGACGAUUUCAUUAAGCGAUAUCGGAGUGCCGAUGAGGCACAGGCAGUUCUGUUCGUGGGUCAGGUAAAUUACAGUUUGAAUGAGAGUAACUGGCUUGCGAGAAUGGUUAUAAUGUGUUCAAGAGUCUGCGUACACUAAUUGAGUGUUCUAAACUUCCAUAUGUGGCUAGAAACUGAGUUUCAUUAGAAGAUGUCAAGACUUGUGGUAUUUCUGGGAACAUUUGGGAGAGCAUUUAGCGGGUUAUGUGUUUUAGAUUGAGUGUUUUUAUGAUCGGGUCUCGUGUGGUAAGAAUAGGAUGAAGGAUUGCAGUACCACAACAAAGGGAAAUAUCUGGUUGAAGACGGAUCAGAAGAAAAAUUUGAUAGAUGGAGUACCUUGAUUGCGGACCGGAUCGGCAUGGCAAGGGAACGAUUAAUUCUUGUUGUAUAUUCGAGGUAAUGAGUUAGCACAUGUAAUUUUACAGCAAUGCUCCUGGGUUUUGACGGUCACUUAGCAUAAUUUGGUUAGAAGGAUUCAGUUGUGGCAGUUUAGUUUGUGCAAAUGAAAUUGGGAGAGUUCUUGUGGAUAGCUACCGUGGUUGAAAAGGUGCACCUUCUACGAAUGUGAGAGGCAUGAGAUGUGCAAAGAUUUUCUUCUAGAUGAGAUCAAUGGAAGUUCAUGAUUAGAUUAGUUCCAGUUCAGGUUAUAAAGGAAAUUCAUACAGCACAUAGGCAGCGGGUAGCCUCAGAUAAUCAAGGAAAAUUGUACGGCUAUAUGAAAGUGAUUCUAUGAGAGUAUAUGUUUCAGAGAAAGGGAAAUGUGAUUAAGUGAUGGUACUUCGGUGGUGUUGCGGCACUUGUUUGUUAGAUCGACUGGUGAUAUUCGGGUUUGUUUGGUAGCACAGGGAGAUUUUUGAGUAUGUAUCCUGAAAUUAUUGGAUAUUUAGUUGUGGCAUGUGUUUGGGCGGCAAAAUUGGGAUCAAGUAUGAUGAUUCGUAUGUUAUGUUUAAUUGGAGGCGGAAGUCCUCAUAUUCGGGCUAUUUGUGAUGGUGGAUCAUGUGUAUCGGCACCGUUUGGUAACUAUUGAGAUUUGGAGGCUCGAAUGAAUCUUUCAUUGCUGGUAUGUUGGAUUUUGGAUAUGAUGUUGGAGUUCAGAUUCAGACUGGUUGUCUCAGUGUUAGAUGAAUUCUGGACUAUUGUGUUAUGGGCUAUGCUGGAAACGCCACGGUUUGAGUGGCGAGGUGCAUUGAGUUAUGUUCUUGUGGAGGGGUUUAUCUUUCAAAGACCCAGUGGACGGCUAGGAAGGAUUUCUUUUCCUAAUUGGGCCUUCUUCAUGAUUGUUAGUGCAAAGGCUGCUAUCAUUGAUUCCGUUCUGGUUUUGAGAGACUGUUCUAAAUGUGUUUCUUGUGGUCGGGCAUGUCGCCGAGCGAAGUAGUGGAUUUCGGCAUUGAUUUGGUGUCGGUCACCCUAUCGUAUGACUCCGGCAUGAGUUAUGGUAAUGAAAGAAGAAACUUCAGACUUCCUCAAUAAGGAGUUCAUUUGCAGGCUAAUGCGGAUGCAUGUUCUAGUUUGAGUCGGCUCGGUUGACUCUGAAUUGUAUUAUUGAAGGUUAGGUUGACUAGGCCGUUAUUGAGCUUAUCAAUGAUCUGGAGAGAUCUAUGAAUUGUUUUAUGUGUUGUGAGACGUUACGAUUUGUUGGUUAUGGGAACAUAUGGUGCGGUGCUAUCAGGAUCCAUAUUGGAAGUUGAGGGGGAAACCUCAGUUGUGCUUGAGUUUUGUAGCUUACAACUCUAUAUAUAGAUAUUAUUAUACACUCAGCAUGCUUACGACCGAUACUCAGUAUUUUGUUGAUGUGCAUCUCCUUAUGUGAGAUAUAUAUGUGGAUCGGGUGGCACGCCGCCAUGCGUAUGUUAUCUGGAUCGGGUUUCAUGCCACAACAGUGUGAUAUUGAGAAUAGUUUACAUAUGCUAUUUGUAUGCCUUGCUUCCUGGUUUCUAAGAAAAGUCUGUAUUGGGUGUUGCUCGGCGAGUGGCGCAUUGGUUGUGUCCUUUCAUGAUUGUAUGGUGUAUAUUACUUACUUCACCAUGGGUAUAAUGAUUUUCUUGGGUUCCAGAUAUCAAUCGUGCGUGGUUGUCAAUUUCGACUAUAAUGACUUGAGGUGUCUCAUGCGGAGCAGUAGUUAGAUAAGAUCGUGCACUAUAGCGAGGCUAUGUGGCGAUAUGACCCUGCAGGUUAGAUUUGUAUGCUCUAUUGUAUUAUGUGAGUUAGAUUCUCAGCCUUGUGUUGUGAUGGUACUAUCGAGAUUGAGGUACAGCUCUUUCAAUUGAGUCAUUUUCAUGAUCGGUGUAUAUUCAGACCGUUGCUUAUGGGUGCGCGUAGUCACGCAAAUUGAGGCUUAGGCCGUAUUGAUGUGUCAUGUCACCAAGGUGGUGUGUUUGGUCAGAAGAUACCGUUGGGAUCAUUAGUGGAUACGAUCGGAUUUGAUUUCAGCUUGUUGAAAGGAUGAUAUCGAGAUUCGGCUCGGAAUCUACUGCGGUAUUAGUCAAGAGGGAAGGAAAUGGCUUCAUGAAUGGUAGAUAUGAGAAAUGUUUAUGGUCUACUGCGUGUUUCAAUACACCUUAGUGGAAUAUGAAAGUGUUGAAAUGCGACGUUAGCUAAUAAGAGGUUUCUAUCGGUAUAUGGUUGUUGUGGACAGCUGACGCGAAUGGGAGUUGUCGUUGCAUGUGUUUAAGCUAUGUGGUGCAUCAUAUAAUUGCACCUGAGGUUCCAGGCAUGGGUUAUUACAGCUAGUUCGGGCCUAUUCAGAGUAUCGAUGAGAGAUUUUGAUCUUGUGGAUGAUUUCGGUAGUCAAAAUAUUGUUCUAUGGUUUAUGUACUAGGAUGGAUUGUGAAAUUUCGGUUAUAUUGUGAUAUCAGACCUAUAUGAGAUAGGGUGAGGUAGAAUCGCCCCCCGGUAUAUGCAUGGUAAAAUUAUUCAGCUUGAUUGGCUUCUAGAACAACUCUGGAACAUUAGAGGACGAACAUACGUUUAAGUGCGAGAGGAUGUAACGACCCGACCCAUCGUUUUGAGCUUUAGCAUUUUUAUCGCCAGUUCUCGGACAUGACUUGCCCCGCGUUAUGCAUUAUGACUGAUAUGGAUCAUUGUCUUCAAGUUUCAGGAAAAUCGAGAUGAAUUUAAAAGAAUAGUUGCAGUUGGAAACUUUAAAUUUGAAAGAUUGACCAAGAGUUGACUUAUUUGUACGCGAGCGCAGAUCCGAGUUUUUAUUAAUUGGUUAGCUUCGUCGGGUGAUUUAUGUCUUAGGAGCGUGAUCGGAAUUGUUUGGAGGUCCAGUGUGGAAUUUGCUUGAAUUGGCGGAACUAGUAUUUUGGCGAUUUUCGAUUGAUAGGUGAGAUUUUGAUCCCGGAGUAGGAAUGGAAUUUCAAGAGUUCCUGUAGCUUCGUUAAGAUGAUUUGGGUAUGCAAAAUUUUAGGUCAUUCGGACGUGAUCUGGUUGGGUUUUUGAUCGAAUGCGUGUUUUAGAAGUUUUAUAAGAACUUGGGCUGGUUGUAUAAUUCCCAAGCGGAAAGUCGUAUACUUUAAAAGUAGAUGGAGUGAUCAAGCGGCCCUUCUUGCGCCAACAUACAUCCAAUGGCAUAGAGUGAUGCGUCAGUUGAAUUCGAUGUAACCCAAUGAUUUUAGUGUUAAUUGAGGCGUUUUGAUAAUUUGAACAAGGUUGAAUAACAUAAUAGGAUGUAUUGGUGUUUUUGGUUGAGGUCCCGGGGGCCUCGGGGUGAGUUCGGGCGGCGAAACGGAGAGCUUUGGAACUUAUCAAAUGAUAAUUGCUUUUGCUUCUGGUAUUUCUACUUCUGUGGAAUUGGGAUCGCAUAAGUGGUACCGCAGAAGCGAAGGAAAGUCGCAGAAGAGAAAAGGGAGCUGGAGGCAGCUUUUGCAGAACUGGGUGUGUGGAUCGCAGAAGCGGUCUUGCUUUUGCGGGAAAUGGACCGCAGAAGCAGUCCUGGUGAAAUGAGGGAAACUGCGAUAUUUUUAUCGCAGAAGUGGAAAUAGGCCUAGGUAAAAGGGUUUUAUUUGAAUAUUUCAUCCGCGAGCUUGGGAUAUUUCCACCAUUGUUGGGCGACCUUGAGAGCCUUUGGCAAGAAUAAAAGAGAGCUUUGACUGGGAAUCGAAUAGAGGUAAGUCUCUUGGCUUAAAUAUAUGAGAUUGUGAUAAUCUAAUAUGGAAAUUCGUUGAAAUUCAUCAAAAGGGGGUAAAGAAAGGGCUUGGGAAUUUGUAUGAACUCGGGAUGAGAUGAGAAAUCUAAAUAUGUAAACAAAAUUGAGUUUCGAGAAGUGGGCCUAGGGCUCGGGUUUUGGUAAUUUUGGGAUUUGUGCUCGUUCAUGAUGGUUUUCUCUUGGGCUUUUUUCCCUUAGCGUAUUGUGAUGUAUUCACUCUAAUUUUGAAUAGAUUCAACGCGCCUGGAGGCCGAUUUGAGGAGCAAAGUCGUCACAGGCUAGAGAUUUCUCCGGUUCGAGGUGAGUAAUGUUUGUAAAUGACAUACUGAGGGUUUGAAACCAACCGGAUUUCACAUCGCAACGCUACAUUGAGGCAUGGCAUGCAUUCUAUGACGAGUGAGAGCUCAUUUACUGUUGGGGAUUGUGACUUGGUACAUACCGACUGUUAUUUCUACUAUAUUAGCGAUUGAGACACAUACUUUAUUACUGGGUGAAUUGGGAUUAUUUCCAUGUUUGGGGCCUUGUGCCGACCUGUAGAAUCCUUAGGGGAUCUUCAUUUGUUUUUUUUUCCUCACUUGUUUGCAUAAAAUAUACUCUCAGUCAUGUAUUAACUAUUAAAAAUAUUAUAAGAACUUUAUUUUGAACUUGAGUCAUAAAUGAAAUGAAUAUGAGGGCUGAGAUCCCUACAGUAUGUUAUGCCCGAGUGGCCGUGAAUUUGUUUGACUGAGAUGGAUUGAGGACCCGAUAGUGAGGAUGUUUUCCUAUGAUAUGGAUCGGGCUGCGCACCGAAGCAAUGAUAUAUUUAUAUUGAGGGCGAGAGCUUAUUUGAUGCCACGAGAUGGCCGAUAGUGCGCUUGGGCUGUAGGAGCCCCUCCGAAGUCUGUACACACCCCCAGUGAGCACCAUCAAUGAUAAAUAAAUGGAGCGGACUGCACACCGUAGCGGGUACCAGAGUGUACCGUUAUUUGCAUUACAUUCAUGCAUUUGUUCAUUAUUUGUUGUUUGCGAUAUUUCUUGAGAUAUUUAUCUGUUGUUCUGGAAUAUUCUAAUCACUCCUAAAGAGGACAAAUCUUUGACACUGGUAACAAUGACACUGUACGAUGCGUUUGGUCAAGUAACAAUGGCUGACCACGAAUAAGAUAAUUGCCUGAGGGGCGGACUUCUAUGCAUAAUGUCACUAAUUUUGAAAUUAUUUUUCGCAACUGUUGAAAGGAUCACUUUCAAAAGAGUUUUAAAACUAAGCCAAGAUAUUUCAAAAGAUGUCACAAUUUUUACUAAUUUUCUCAAUUUAAUGGCUUUUCACUGCUUCUAUACGGCAUGAUGAUUUGUCAUACGUAUUUUCUUACUACUUAGUUAUUAUUUACUUUCAUUACUCACAGAGCUGGAGUACUCACUUUACUCCAUGCACCUCGUGUGUAGAUGCAGGUACUUAUUCACACGGUAGCGGGUUUUGAACUGAUCGUAGAUUUGAAAUCCUAGCUAAUCCUGGUGACCGCUAGUGUCCGCGGCACCGAAUUUUUUCCCCUUUUGAUUUAAAUCCCAUUCUGUUUACCACUUGUCACGCCCUCUUUUUUAUAAAAAACAAACUCUCGCAUAACCCUCUUAAAUUAAUAAAAGGAUUUAGUAAAGCUUGAAAAGGGUUUUCAAUUUGAAAAGUGACAAAAAUUUGUGUUCAAAAGGAAAUACUCAUAGUCGCCACCUGACAUAUGAUUUCGGUGUGUCAAGUCACCGUUUUUUAUAAAUAAUUUUUCCUUCCAAAACACUUAAGACUCUAAAACUAAGUCUGCACCAAAGAUUAGGGUAAGGGGUUCAUUUGACUCAGGAAGAAGGUGUUAGGCACUCCCCAAGUCUCGUAAAAGUUUCGCUUGCGUACUCAAUCAAGUUAGCUUUUGAAAUAUUCAAUUGAGGCAGAAAUCACAGAAAAGGAAAAAUAAAUACACAAGAGGCUCGAGGUCGUCCCCACCUAAAUGAAAAAAAAAGAAUAAUGAAAAUAAAUUAAAAUACUACAAGUUUUUAUUUUUCGGUCUCCGAAUAAAAGUGCUACAGAGCAUACCCUAGAUAAAAAUAUAUACAAAUCCUUCGGGGCAUUCCCCGAAUAAAUUUACUAAGAGAUGACCUCUCACCUUGAAGCUAAUGAAAUCCUAAAGCUUGUCUACCCAAGUGUGGUCGGACUAAAUCAUGUUCCUAAAGAUCCCAACAAUAAUAUCAACAUUAAAUUAUCAUAGAUUCGUUUAUACCAAAUUCCAACUUCAUUCUUACGUCAAGUCAAAACUAUUUUCCUUUCUUAAGUUUGGCUGACACCACUCAUGUCCAAUUAUCUCAUUGGCCCAUUUGCUCCUUAGUUUGACAUCUUAUAUUCAUAAAUUUCUUUCCAAUGGUAAUGGAUAUGAAAGCAAAAACUAAUUUAAUCAAAUUCAAAGAAUGAAAAUAUUCAAGCAAUCAACAACAUAUAAUAUGAAAAAUCCAAACUCAUGUCAUUAAAGUCUUGUAUUUGAAACUAAAAGGAGAUAUGAAAGAGUUGGACCUCAAAACAAAGUAAUUUGAAUCUGAAAAAUGCGUAAAAACCUUGACAGGACUGCGAAUCUACCCAAAAACCUUGAAUCUGACACCAACUUCAAACGGACCUCUCCCCAGAUAGAAAAUGGAACUCGAAUCUUUUUGAGAAAGCCUGAACUGAAACCAAGUUAUCAACAAAGCCCGAACAGAAUUUGAAAACUUCACCAGAUUGAUCAGAACUUUGGGCAUGAACAACGACCCUAAAACUGAAACUGGGUUCAGGGUAAGUGGUUGGCGGCGGCUCUCUAGUCUUGGGUCUUGUGUGUUGAGAAGAAGAUGAAGUCUAGGAUUUGGUCUUAGGUUCUAAGGUUGAAGAAGAGAGAGUCUUCCUAAGGUUAGGUCUUAUAUAUUAGGGUGGGGUAAGGGG
This 16663-nucleotide long non-coding RNA is filed under the name Nicotiana benthamiana. Its description in RNAcentral is "long non-coding RNA (NBEN_LNC028244)". The record is from RNAcentral. Lineage: Eukaryota; Viridiplantae; Streptophyta; Magnoliopsida; Solanales; Solanaceae.